Molecule: ribosomal RNA, 539 nt
Filed under: Neodecilaus picus
Lineage: Eukaryota; Metazoa; Arthropoda; Insecta; Coleoptera; Curculionidae
Description: partial 16S ribosomal RNA
Rfam family: Bacterial large subunit ribosomal RNA
Source: RNAcentral
UUAUUGAUUAUAAUUUUAGGUCUGGCCUGCCCAAUGAUGCAAAUAAGUAUUAAAUGGCUGCGGUAUACUGACCGUGCAAAGGUAGCAUAAUCACUAGUUUUUUAAUUGAAAGCUUGUAUGAAAGGUUUGAUGAAAAAAUAGCUGUCUCUAUUUAAAUUUUGUUGAAAUUUAUUUUUAAGUUAAAAAGCUUAAAUGUUUAUAAAAGACGAGAAGACCCUAUAGAGUUUUAUAAUAAGAAGAAUAAAUGAAUAGUUUAGGAUAUUAUAAUUUAUUAGGAAAAUUAUUUAGUUGGGGUGAUUGAAAAAUUUAAUAAACUUUUUUUUUAUAAAAUCAUUGAUUUGUGAGUAUUUGAUCCUUAGAUUUAGAUUACAAGAUAAAAUUACCUUAGGGAUAACAGCGUAGUUUUUUUUAGAGUUCUUAUUGAAAAAAAAGAUUGCGACCUCGAUGUUGGAUUAAAAGAAAUUAUUGGUGUAGAAGCUAAUAAAUUAGGUCUGUUCGACCUUUAAAAUUUUACAUGAUCUGAGUUUAAACCGGCGUAA